GUAAGACCGAAUCUUUGGGGAAGGGUUCUGUGGGGAGGGACAGUUUCAACACGUUCGGCAUGGAGAAAACAAAGUCAAUAAACAUAGUCAAAUGUCACCAACAGCUGAGGAUGAAAAACCAUCAUCACAGCAUACCUUCAGUGGAGUUUAUUUAUUGUAUCAUCCAACUAAAUAGUGAUAAUUUUGAUCCAAAAUUCAUUUUUGAUGUCCAAAAAUGUCAUGGCUUGGGAAUACAUCCAGGAAUCAGAUCAAAAAGUCAGACACAAACAAAAGCUGUUGAUUCUGCUGAUACGAAGACUGACACUGAAUUCAAAUGCUCAUCCUUGCAGAAUUCUUGAAUCAUUGGAGUCCACACAUUUAAGUUGCUAUCUUCAGAUGUCUGGAGCUCUUUCUCAAGGAGAUGCGCAAAUUUGGCAAGUCCAAACAUGGGAACUUCAACAAGAGACUUUCCUUGACCGCUGGAACUCCUCCCUCUCGACUUUGACCAGGAAGGCAGUCAUCAUGCCCUAUUUUACACUUCAUUCCAAACCCCUUAAACUUGUCCUUAAACUAUGAUGAUGCUAUUGUCAUACUGUUAUAGAUCUACAUUAAUAUCUCAUUGUCAUAAGUACUGUGCUCUUGCCCUAGUGACAAAAACAACAUAUUUAUGUACAGUAUACAUUUAUUAGUUGUAUAUCCUGGGUAUCAAACCCAUGAUGUUGGUUUUACUAGCAACAUGCUCUACCAGAUGAGCUACAAGACCAAGAGAACUACAGGAAUUUAAUCCAAUGAUGGUGGCCUAUAAGCAAGAGAAGACCAACCAUUAAAUAUCUUGAGUACCCUUUUAAUUAAAAUGUUGUGGUAUUUACUUAGUCCCUCUGAAACUGACAUUUGUUUAGUCUGAGAUUAAAAACUGGAAAACUGAAAUUGAGUUAUGUUCAUGUAAAUUGUCUGACUGUCUGUAGUUAUAUUAUGUCAGUGAUCCCGACAGUAUGUGUGUAACCAUUGUAAAAGAGGCAGUUGAAAUGCAACAUCACUAAUGCUUUUUUUUCUUAGCACAGAAUGAACUCAUCUUUGAGAUAAGAAGUGGGUGGGGGUUAUUAGCGAGUGAGCAUAUCAUGUGAAACUAACAAUGUUUCUGUUGGUCAGAACCCUUCUCCAAAAUGUCAACAGCUCUCAGUUUUAGCAAAAGAUGCUCGAGAUAAAUAUAUUGACUGGAUUUGCAUAGUCUUAUACUAAGAUCCAAUCCACCUCCAAGAUCUCUUUGGGCUUAGAUCUUCAAACAUGAAGACCACACUGCCCCAUUGUAACUUAGGGGCCAAAUUCAAAUAUGUCCUUGACCAUUCAAAAGUGCAAACUGGCAUCUGUGAUUAAGUGUUGGAUUUUCUUCAUUGCUAGCAUGAUGCCACAGUAGCAUUCCCACUAUAAUGGGGAAAUUUCAAGUGGAUCAUGGACCGAGAGAUAUGACAAUGGGGAUGUGGGUUUAAUGAUUAAGAGUGAAGGAAAUAAAAUGUAAUGGUCUCCUGAUCUUAACAUACCAGAGGAGUACAUACAUCUGAGAGAGACACAAGAGGUUUUAGCAACAUGACACAACGUGUCCUUGAGAGCACAUAAUCUGAGCUAAUAUCUAUGCUUACGAUCCAAUUUAAUUAUGCAUUGUUUGAGAUUUCAUUGCUAGCAUCCAUUAUUUAAGAUUUCAAUUUGAAUUCUUUAUUUUUUUCUUGUCAAGUUCUUUGUCCUGUGUAACUAGUCUUUAAAUGUUUUGACAGCUCUGGCAUGGCCAAACAAGGGAUGUGGGUAGCAGAAAAAAGUUCCUUGCCUUUUUCAACAAAAGCGUCUUUGUGUUUAUAAUAAUGUGUGAGGUCUGAAGUCAAUAUUUGUCAUUCUUUCUUGUUCAUUUUUUUACACAUUGCAUUAGCAUAAUAUGUGUUAUGUGCUUAACAGUUUCAACAUUAUACCAUUCAGAUAGUACAUCCUGGAAAAGUGUGGUUCUGACCAUGGUGCUGUAUGCUUAAUAAAUGUGCUGACAUUACUGAA
Molecule: long non-coding RNA, 2016 nt
Organism: Xyrauchen texanus (razorback sucker)
Lineage: Eukaryota; Metazoa; Chordata; Actinopteri; Cypriniformes; Catostomidae
Exons: 2
Source: RefSeq, a predicted model, not a curated record